CCAACGGCCUUUUUGAAGGCCACCAUAAUUUUUGGGAGUCAACUG
Molecule: non-coding RNA, 45 nt
Organism: Folsomia candida
Lineage: Eukaryota; Metazoa; Arthropoda; Collembola; Entomobryomorpha; Isotomidae
Source: Rfam